Molecule: ribosomal RNA, 253 nt
Filed under: uncultured bacterium
Lineage: Bacteria
Description: partial 16S ribosomal RNA
Rfam family: Bacterial small subunit ribosomal RNA
Source: RNAcentral
UACGUAGGGACCAAGCGUUGUUCGGAUUUACUGGGCGUAAAGGGCGCGUAGGCGGCGCGGUAAGUCACUUGUGAAAUCUCUGAGCUUAACUCAGAACGGCCAAGUGAUACUGCAGUGCUAGAGUGUGGAAGGGGCAAUCGGAAUUCUUGGUGUAGCGGUGAAAUGCGUAGAUAUCAAGAGGAACACCUGAGGUGAAGACGGGUUGCUGGGCCAACACUGACGAUGAGGCGCGAAAGCCAGGGGAGCAAACGGG